AGCGAACGCUGGCGGCAGGCCUAACACAUGCAAGUCGAACGAACCUUUCGGGGUUAGUGGCGGACGGGUGAGUAACACGUGGGAACGUGCCUUUAGGUUCGGAAUAACUCAGGGAAACUUGUGCUAAUACAGAAUGUGCCCUUCGGGGGAAAGAUUAAUCGCCUUUAGAGCGGCCCGCGUCUGAUUAGCUAGUUGGUUGAGGUAAUGGCUCACCAAGGCGACGAUCAGUAGCUGGUCUGAGAGGAUGAUCAGCCACAUUGGGACUGAGACACGGCCCAAACUCCUACGGGAGGCAGCAGUGGGGAAUCUUGCGCAAUGGGCGAAAGCCUGACGCAGCCAUGCCGCGUGAAUGAUGAAGGUCUUAGGAUUGUAAAAUUCUUUCACCGGGGACGAUAAUGACGGUACCCGGAGAAGAAGCCCCGGCUAACUUCGUG
Molecule: ribosomal RNA, 434 nt
Filed under: uncultured bacterium
Lineage: Bacteria
Description: partial 16S ribosomal RNA
Rfam family: Bacterial small subunit ribosomal RNA
Source: RNAcentral